AUUGAACGCUGGCGGCAGGCCUAACACAUGCAAGUCGAACGAGUGGCGGACGGGAGAGCUAGGUAUGGGAAACUGCCUGAUGGAGGGGGUUCACUACUGGAAACGGUAGCUAAAACCGAACACCAUAGGAUGUGUCCAGAUGGGAUUAGCUAGUAGGUGGGGUAACGGCUCACCUAGGCGACGAUCCCUAGCUGGUCUGAGAGGAUGAACAGCCACACUGGAACUGAGACACGGUCCAGACUCCUACGGGAGGCAGCAGUGGGGAAUAUUGCACAAUGGGCGCAAGCCUGAUGCAGCCAUGCCGCGUGUAUGAAGAAGGCCUUCGGGUUGUAAAGUACUUUCAGCGGGGAGGCGUUACCCGCAGAAGAAGCACCGGCUAACUCCGUGCCAGCAGCCGCGGUAAUAC
Molecule: ribosomal RNA, 406 nt
Filed under: uncultured bacterium
Lineage: Bacteria
Description: partial 16S ribosomal RNA
Rfam family: Bacterial small subunit ribosomal RNA
Source: RNAcentral